GGUAUCGAAUUGUUUGGCAAGAGCUGCCGAUAUUUCGAUGUUUUUUUACAUCACUAGUACGAACGCGAACGCGAUUUUUGUGAUGGAUAAAAACAAAGUCCCGUAUAAAUUUAUGAAAACUGUGUAAAAAUGCAGCAAAUGAAUCAGAAAAUCAUUACUAAAUUCUGCAUUGAUUGAGAACUAACAAUUUGGAAUGCAUAAUUAGUGUGACAAAGCAAAAUUAUUUCGAAACGGGCAAACAAAAAGCUCCCAGCCUUCGGUCCUGUAACAAUCGGUCGCUCGGUCGGUCAGUUAAAAGCUUAUGCGUAUGCAAGUUGACGCAGUUUACGAUAACUGUUUUUCGUGACACGAAGUGCCCGCGCUUGCAACACACAAAAUCAA
Molecule: long non-coding RNA, 381 nt
Organism: Drosophila mojavensis
Lineage: Eukaryota; Metazoa; Arthropoda; Insecta; Diptera; Drosophilidae
Exons: 2
Source: RefSeq, a predicted model, not a curated record